CGCGCCUAACACAUGCAAGUCGAACGGAGAUCAUUUGGUAGAAGUUUUCGGAUGGACACUGAGUGAUCUUAGUGGCGAACGGGUGAGUAACGCGUGAGCAAUCUGCCUCAGAGUGGGGGACAACAGUUGGAAACGACUGCUAAUACCGCAUAAGCCCACAGCACCGCAUGGUGCAGGGGGAAAAGAUUUAUUGCUUUGAGAUGAGCUCGCGUCCAAUUAGCUAGUUGGUGAGGUAACGGCCCACCAAGGCGACGAUUGGUAGCCGGACUGAGAGGUUGAACGGCCACAUUGGGACUGAGAUACGGCCCAGACCCCUACGGGAGGCAGCAGUGGGGAAUAUUGCACAAUGGGGGGAACCCUGAUGCAGCGACGCCGCGUGGAGGAAGAAGGUCUUCGGAUUGUAAACUCCUGUUGAUAGGGACGAUAAUGACGGUACCUAACAAGGAAGCACCGGCUAACUACGUGCCAGCCGCCGCAGUAA
Molecule: ribosomal RNA, 481 nt
Filed under: uncultured bacterium
Lineage: Bacteria
Description: partial 16S ribosomal RNA
Rfam family: Bacterial small subunit ribosomal RNA
Source: RNAcentral